Archocentrus centrarchus (flier cichlid) is the source of this 322-nucleotide long non-coding RNA. RefSeq lists it as uncharacterized. The record is from RefSeq and is a predicted model, not a curated record. The transcript has 4 exons. NCBI's taxonomy places the organism in Eukaryota, Metazoa, Chordata, Actinopteri, Cichliformes, Cichlidae.
AUAAUUGGUUUGGACUGAACAGUGAGCACAUCAGAGCCUGUCUUGUUUAUGAAAAAAACAACUGAAUCUACUAAAUGUUGACACCUUUUUUUUGAGAUGACACGUUCAUUGCCUCUAUUUCAGACACAGAUGACGAUGUUGAAUUGAUUGAGGAGUCAGAUGUUGACAUAUCUGACUUAGACCGCUAUCUUCACGAUCAGAGAGCUUUCUCCUCUCCGAAAAGAACUCGCCUCGGUUCAGCUUCUAAAGGCUGUAAACUCACAGACAGCCAAAGACAGAUUCUCCGUGGUGCUACCUCAAUAGGAAAACAUCUCACAGUUGA